This 431-nucleotide small RNA is filed under the name Drosophila pseudoobscura pseudoobscura. RNAcentral describes it as "GA30961". The record is from RNAcentral. Lineage: Eukaryota; Metazoa; Arthropoda; Insecta; Diptera; Drosophilidae.
UGCUAUGAUUUUUGCGCAGUUUUCGUGCGGUUUUCGGAGCUAAAGGACGCAGCAGCGGUAGCAACAGCAGCAGGAGCAGAAAAAGCAACCGAAGAGGCAGCGCGAUAAAGAAUAGCAAAGGAGUUGUGUUUUUUGCAGUGUGGCGUGUGAGAAACAAUUGAAAACAAUCUUUUGUGCGAGAUAGAAACGCGUGUUGAAAAAGUGCUCCAUCAAGAAUAAGAAAAUUAAAGCCUGUGAGAAGGUGAAAAAACGGGCAGGUGAGGGGGCUCUAGAGCUCUGCAAGGACCCUUGGAUUACCUUGCGGGGCAAGCGGAAUCAGCCAGCGAGUUCGCCGCCGGGCGGAACUCCGGCAGAAGCUGAACAAGAGACAGCGAGAGACAAGGCAGAAGAAGCCAAGCGCGAAGCAGAUCAGAUCCACAAGAAAAGGGACA